This 73-nucleotide transfer RNA is filed under the name Penicillium chrysogenum. RNAcentral describes it as "tRNA-Ile (TAT) (tRNA-Ile-TAT-1-1)". It matches the Rfam family "tRNA". Rfam says of the family: Transfer RNA (tRNA) molecules are approximately 80 nucleotides in length. Their secondary structure includes four short double-helical elements and three loops (D, anti-codon, and T loops). Further hydrogen bonds mediate the characteristic L-shaped molecular structure. tRNAs have two regions of fundamental functional importance: the anti-codon, which is responsible for specific mRNA codon recognition, and the 3' end, to which the tRNAs corresponding amino acid is attached (by aminoacyl-tRNA synthetases). tRNAs cope with the degeneracy of the genetic code in two manners: having more than one tRNA (with a specific anti-codon) for a particular amino acid; and 'wobble' base-pairing, i.e. permitting non-standard base-pairing at the 3rd anti-codon position. Lineage: Eukaryota; Fungi; Ascomycota; Eurotiomycetes; Eurotiales; Aspergillaceae. The record is from RNAcentral. RNAcentral also lists the same sequence under 5 other names.
GGACCUGUGGCCCAAUGGUUAAGGCGCCGAGCUUAUGCCUCGGAGAUUCGUGGUUCAAUCCCGCGCAGGUCCA